RNAcentral lists this transfer RNA (86 nucleotides) under Chlamydiae bacterium RIFCSPHIGHO2_12_FULL_27_8. Its description in RNAcentral is "tRNA-Leu". It matches the Rfam family "tRNA". From Rfam's summary of the family: Transfer RNA (tRNA) molecules are approximately 80 nucleotides in length. Their secondary structure includes four short double-helical elements and three loops (D, anti-codon, and T loops). Lineage: Bacteria; Pseudomonadati; Chlamydiota. The record is from RNAcentral.
GCUCGGAUGGUGAAAUAGGUAGACACAAGGGACUUAAAAUCCCUUGGGCGGAAACGCCCGUGCUGGUUCGAGUCCAGUUCCGAGCA